GAUGAACGCUGGCGGCGUGCCUAAUACAUGCAAGUCGAACGCAUAGCGAAAGGUGCUUGCACCUUUCAAGUGAGUGGCGAACGGGUGAGUAACACGUGGACAACCUGCCUCAAGGCUGGGGAUAACAUUUGGAAACAGAUGCUAAUACCGAAUAAAACUUAGUGUCGCAUGACACAAAGUUAAAAGGCGCUUCGGCGUCACCUAGAGAUGGAUCCGCGGUGCAUUAGUUAGUUGGUGGGGUAAAGGCCUACCAAGACAAUGAUGCAUAGCCGAGUUGAGAGACUGAUCGGCCACAUUGGGACUGAGACACGGCCCAAACUCCUACGGGAGGCUGCAGUGGGGAAUCUUCCACAAUGGGCGAAAGCCUGAUGGAGCAACGCCGCGUGUGUGAUGAAGGCUUUCGGGUCGUAAAGCACUGUUGUAUGGGAAGAACAGCUAGAAUAGGAAAUGAUUUUAGUUUGACGGUACCAUACCAGAAAGGGACGGCUAAAUACGUG
This 497-nucleotide ribosomal RNA is filed under the name uncultured bacterium. RNAcentral's name for it is "partial 16S ribosomal RNA". It matches the Rfam family "Bacterial small subunit ribosomal RNA", at positions 28 to 507 of the family's 1533-position model. The record is from RNAcentral.